CCCUCUAUCAGUCGAUCCCCAAUUCACUAACCCAAUUCACUAAUCCCAGAUCCCAAUUCAUUAAUCGUUUGGGUGCUGCUUAAAGAGGAAGGUCAGAGAGGUUUCAAGGAGGAGCAUGAUAAGAAGUUUCAAGGUGACGCAUUUACUGACAGGUCACUUGUUCGACAAUUACCUUGUUCCUGUGGUUCUUCAUUAAAAGCCACAGGUUCUUAUGAAAGAUUGUCUACUCCUAUACAAGCUGAUGAGCGGUUUCAUGGUUUCAACUGAAUGGUGUUGAAUUGCCUCACGUGCCCAGCCCUAAUAAUAACCGCUCCACAGGUCCCCUCAUUCAUGUAUAUCAUUGUCCUUGGUUGGGAUGGAUGUUUAUAUAUCCACUACUGAUCACUGUGAUCCACA
Molecule: long non-coding RNA, 396 nt
Organism: Rosa rugosa (rugosa rose)
Lineage: Eukaryota; Viridiplantae; Streptophyta; Magnoliopsida; Rosales; Rosaceae
Exons: 3
Source: RefSeq, a predicted model, not a curated record